This 492-nucleotide ribosomal RNA is filed under the name uncultured bacterium. Its description in RNAcentral is "partial 16S ribosomal RNA". It matches the Rfam family "Bacterial small subunit ribosomal RNA", at positions 29 to 507 of the family's 1533-position model. The record is from RNAcentral.
AGUGAACGCUGGCGGUAGGCCUAACACAUGCAAGUCGAACGGCAGCACAGUAAGAGCUUGCUCUUACGGGUGGCGAGUGGCGGACGGGUGAGGAAUACAUCGGAAUCUACUUUUUCGUGGGGGAUAACGUAGGGAAACUUACGCUAAUACCGCAUACGACCUACGGGUGAAAGCAGGGGAUCUUCGGACCUUGCGCGAUUGAAUGAGCCGAUGUCGGAUUAGCUAGUUGGCGGGGUAAAGGCCCACCAAGGCGACGAUCCGUAGCUGGUCUGAGAGGAUGAUCAGCCACACUGGAACGGAGACACGGUCCAGACUCCUACGGGAGGGAGCAGUGGGGAAUAUUGGACAAAGGGCGCAAGCCUGAUCCAGCCAUACCGCGUGGGUGAAGAAGGCCUUCGGGUUGUAAAGCCCUUUUGUUGGGAAAGAAAAGCAGCAGGUUAAUACCCCGCUGUUCUGACGGUACCCAAAGAAUAAGCACCGGGUAACUUCGUG